Molecule: ribosomal RNA, 496 nt
Filed under: uncultured bacterium
Lineage: Bacteria
Description: partial 16S ribosomal RNA
Rfam family: Bacterial small subunit ribosomal RNA
Source: RNAcentral
GAUGAACGCUGGCGGCGUGCCUAAUACAUGCAAGUAGAACGCUGAAGGAGGAGCUUGCUCUUUCCGGAUGAGUUGCGAACGGGUGAGUAACGCGUAGGUAACCUGCCUGGUAGCGGGGGAUAACUAUUGGAAACGAUAGCUAAUACCGCAUAACAGUAGAUAUUGCAUGAUAUUUGCUUGAAAGGGGCAAUUGCUCCACUACCAGAUGGACCUGCGUUGUAUUAGCUAGUUGGUGAGGUAACGGCUCACCAAGGCGACGAUACAUAGCCGACCUGAGAGGGUGAUCGGCCACACUGGGACUGGGACACGGCCCAGACUCCUACGGGAGGCAGCAGUAGGGAAACUUCGGCAAGGGACGGAAGUCUGACCGAGCAACGCCGCGUGAGUGAAGAAGGGUUUCGGAUCGUAAAGCUCUGUUGUAAGAGAAGAACGAGUGUGAGAGUGGAAAGUUCACACUGUGACGGUAUCUGACCAGAAAGGGACGGCUAACUACGUG